GCGAAAUACAGAAAAACUCUCAUAACAAUGUGCUAGAUUAGCCAAGAGAAAAAAGAAUCGAUAUCACCGCCUGAAGAACAUUCGCAAUAUGCAGUUCAAACGUCGCCAAGCGCGUGAUUGUUGAGGGAAAUGUUAGUCAGCCGUCACGUACAUGUUGUAGCAUUAAGGAAGCUGUCUUCACCCUAAUCGGUUGUAAGCAGAGCUGUUGAUCUCCUCGAGAGUGACGAAAAAAGUGAUAAAGUUGAUGUCAAAAUCAUGUCCACUACAUUUGCUGCUCUGUGGAAGAUAUUGUUCGUUUCAUACGCCUAUGCGCAAGAAACGUGCAGAAUUUUGGAGUUUGUUCAACCCGAGGAAGACAAUUACCUCGAAAAUCACGUCAUUAAGUCCUUAAUGGUUGAUAACAAAGAUCAGUGUAAAGUGAGGUGUUACGCAGAGAACUUCUGUUCAUCCUUCAAUCUUGGAAUUUCAGAGACCAGGGGCAAAUUAAAAUGUGAACUCAGUGACUCUGAUCACUUUCAACAUCCUGAACAUCUCAUUUGUAAGAAAGGCUUCUCCUAUCAUCCA
Molecule: long non-coding RNA, 564 nt
Organism: Pocillopora damicornis (cauliflower coral)
Lineage: Eukaryota; Metazoa; Cnidaria; Anthozoa; Scleractinia; Pocilloporidae
Source: RefSeq, a predicted model, not a curated record